RNAcentral lists this transfer RNA (65 nucleotides) under unidentified. RNAcentral's name for it is "Epeorus unispinosus tRNA-Pro". The record is from RNAcentral.
CAGAGGGUAGUUUAUAAAAAUAUUAGUUUUGGGGAUUAAAGAUAGGGCGGUAGCUUUACCUCUGA